Molecule: ribosomal RNA, 612 nt
Filed under: Methylobacterium sp. H9.16
Lineage: Bacteria; Pseudomonadati; Pseudomonadota; Alphaproteobacteria; Hyphomicrobiales; Methylobacteriaceae
Description: bacterial SSU rRNA
Rfam family: Bacterial small subunit ribosomal RNA
Source: RNAcentral
GUCGAGCGGGCACUUCGGUGUCAGCGGCAGACGGGUGAGUAACACGUGGGAACGUACCCUUUGGUUCGGAAUAACGCUGGGAAACUAGCGCUAAUACCGGAUACGCCCUUUUGGGGAAAGGCUUGCUGCCGAAGGAUCGGCCCGCGUCUGAUUAGCUAGUUGGUGGGGUAAUGGCCUACCAAGGCGACGAUCAGUAGCUGGUCUGAGAGGAUGAUCAGCCACACUGGGACUGAGACACGGCCCAGACUCCUACGGGAGGCAGCAGUGGGGAAUAUUGGACAAUGGGCGCAAGCCUGAUCCAGCCAUGCCGCGUGAGUGAUGAAGGCCUUAGGGUUGUAAAGCUCUUUUGUCCGGGACGAUAAUGACGGUACCGGAAGAAUAAGCCCCGGCUAACUUCGUGCCAGCAGCCGCGGUAAUACGAAGGGGGCUAGCGUUGCUCGGAAUCACUGGGCGUAAAGGGCGCGUAGGCGGCCAUUCAAGUCGGGGGUGAAAGCCUGUGGCUCAACCACAGAAUUGCCUUCGAUACUGUUUGGCUUGAGUUUGGUAGAGGUUGGUGGAACUGCGAGUGUAGAGGUGAAAUUCGUAGAUAUUCGCAAGAACACCAGUGGCGAA